Molecule: ribosomal RNA, 301 nt
Filed under: uncultured bacterium
Lineage: Bacteria
Description: partial 16S ribosomal RNA
Rfam family: Bacterial small subunit ribosomal RNA
Source: RNAcentral
CAGUAGCCACGGUAAUACGUAGGUGGCAAGCGUUGUCCGGAAUUAUUGGGCGUAAAGGGCUCGCAGGCGGUUUCUUAAGUCUGAUGUGAAAGCCCCCGGCUCAACCGGGGAGGGUCAUUGGAAACUGGGAAACUUGAGUGCAGAAGAGGAGAGUGGAAUUCCACGUGUAGCGGUGAAAUGCGUAGAGAUGUGGAGGAACACCAGUGGCGAAGGCGACUCUCUGGUCUGUAGCUGACGCUGAGGAGCGAAAGCGUGGGGAGCGAACAGGAUUAGAUACCCCAGUAGUCCCUGUCUCUUAUAC